RNAcentral lists this long non-coding RNA (304 nucleotides) under Manacus vitellinus (golden-collared manakin). RNAcentral's name for it is "lncRNA (ENSMVIG00005005224.1)". The record is from RNAcentral. Lineage: Eukaryota; Metazoa; Chordata; Aves; Passeriformes; Pipridae.
AAGGAUAAAGAGACUGCAGCAUUCUCCCCAGCAGAGUUACAGUUCUGGGGUGUAGGACAACUUGUAUAAACACCCAGCUUGCAUUGGCUGCACUUCUCGCUCGUCCAGGAGAGAAGAACUGAAGGAGGUGGGUGGACUAACACAGAGCUCACUGCUGAACUACUGAACUUGGGUGGAUCAGAAACAGAAUUGAAGCUAUUUUAUCUGGACCUAAUUAAACAACCUUCAUUACUGGCAGGUAUGUGUUUGUGAUGACUAGAAAUUAGCUUGAUUGGAAUUAAACCUCAAAAUAUAAGGCAUUGAA